Long non-coding RNA from Cavia porcellus (domestic guinea pig), 342 nucleotides. RefSeq lists it as uncharacterized. The transcript has 3 exons. NCBI's taxonomy places the organism in Eukaryota, Metazoa, Chordata, Mammalia, Rodentia, Caviidae. The record is from RefSeq and is a predicted model, not a curated record.
UCAGUAACUCGAUUGUACAAUCCACUCACAGAGUGGACGUUAGAAAAAACUUCCUAAGACAAUAACAAUCUUGAAACAGGAAUGGAGAAACCAGAUUUCUAGUUCAACACUGGAUAGUAACCAGCUGGUAGAAACUGGAUGGCUCAGCUGUGCAGAACAAUUAAUGGAGAACAAAACCAGUUUUUGCUUCAAUGGGGCUACUAUUUACAUAGCUCAUGACCUUUGGGACUAUGGAAAAGUCACAACACCACCUCAAGCCUCAGUUUAUUCAGCUGUACAGUGGAAGUUCUGAUCCCUGAUUGGUAACAUUAUUAUGAGUUUGAAUAAAAAUUGAGUACCUUA